GAUGAACGCUGGCGGCACGCCUAACACAUGCAAGUCGAACGGCAACACCGGAAUUUCCUUCUGGUACGGGGGGCCACUCGCGGCCGAGGGAUGAGUACAACGGGAGUUACUUGUUCGUGAGUUAGGUCGAAGCCGGGGUAACGCUGAUUCCGCCUCGGACGUACUGGAGGGAGCAGUCGGUGUUGGGACCUUGCGUGAUUGUGGUUGGCGAUGUCGGAUUAGCUAGUUGGCGGGGUAAAGGCCUACCAAGGCGACGAUCCGUAGCUGGUCUGAGAGGAUGAUCGGCCACACUGGAACUGAGACACGGUCCAGACUCCUACGGGAGGCAGCAGUGGGGAAUAUUGGACAAUGGGCGAAAGCCUGAUCCAGCAACACCGCGUGGGUGAGGAAGGCCUUCGGGUUGUAAAGCUCUUUUGUUGGGGAAGAAAAGCAGGGGACUAAUCCGGGCGGGUGGUGACGGUACCGAAAGAAUAAGCACCGGCUAACUACGUG
This 492-nucleotide ribosomal RNA is filed under the name uncultured bacterium. RNAcentral describes it as "partial 16S ribosomal RNA". It matches the Rfam family "Bacterial small subunit ribosomal RNA", at positions 28 to 507 of the family's 1533-position model. The record is from RNAcentral.